UACGGGGGGGGCAAGCGUUGUUCGGAAUUACUGGGCGUAAAGGGCUCGUAGGUGGCCAACUAAGUCAGACGUGAAAUCCCUCAGCUUAACUGGGGAACUGCGUCUGAUACUGGAUGGCUUGAGUUUGGGAGAGGGAUGUGGAAUUCCAGGUGUAGCGGUGAAAUGCGUAGAUAUCUGGAGGAACACCGGUGGCGAAGGCGGCAUCCUGGACCGGCACUGACACUGAGGAGCGAAAGCCAGGGGAGCAAACGGG
This 253-nucleotide ribosomal RNA is filed under the name uncultured bacterium. RNAcentral describes it as "partial 16S ribosomal RNA". It matches the Rfam family "Bacterial small subunit ribosomal RNA", at positions 524 to 776 of the family's 1533-position model. The record is from RNAcentral.